RNAcentral lists this ribosomal RNA (451 nucleotides) under uncultured Streptococcus sp. Its description in RNAcentral is "bacterial SSU rRNA". It matches the Rfam family "Bacterial small subunit ribosomal RNA", at positions 929 to 1382 of the family's 1533-position model. Lineage: Bacteria; Bacillati; Bacillota; Bacilli; Lactobacillales; Streptococcaceae. The record is from RNAcentral.
ACGGUGGAGCAUGUGGUUUAAUUCGAAGCAGCGCGAAGAACCUUACCAGGUCUUGACAUCCCGAUGCUAUUCUAGAGAUAGAAAGUUACUUCGGUACAUCGGUGACAGGUGGUGCAUGGUUGUCGUCAGCUCGUGUCGUGAGAUGUUGGGUUAAGUCCCGCAACGAGCGCAACCCCUAUUGUUAGUUGCCAUCAUUCAGUUGGGCACUCUAGCGAGACUGCCGGUAAUAAACCGGAGGAAGUGGGGAUGACGUCAAAUCAUCAUGCCCCUUAUGACCUGGGCUACACACGUGCUACAAUGGUUGGUACAACGAGUUGCGAGUCGGUGACGGCGAGCUAAUCUCUUAAAGCCAAUCUCAGUUCGGAUUGUAGGCUGCAACUCGCCUACAUGAAGUCGGAAUCGCUAGUAAUCGCGGAUCAGCACGCCCGCGGUCGAAUACGUUCCGGGCCUU